Numida meleagris (helmeted guineafowl) is the source of this 2212-nucleotide long non-coding RNA. RefSeq lists it as uncharacterized. Lineage: Eukaryota; Metazoa; Chordata; Aves; Galliformes; Numididae. The transcript has 2 exons. The record is from RefSeq and is a predicted model, not a curated record.
UGCCUGAGGAGGGGUGAGCUGGCUCAGGUCACAGAUGCAGCAGGUCAAAACUGUAAUCUACUGUAGGGAACCUGCUUUAGCAGGGGAGCAGACUAGAUGAUGUCCAGACGUCCCUUCCAACCCCCUGCAAUUCUGUGAUUCUGUAUUACAAUGCACUGGCUCUCAGGACAGCCCCUGUUUGAUAUAAAGCACGAAGGCUCCAUGGAAUUUACAGAGUCAAGAACAUCAAACAUUUUUUAUUCUUCUCUGUGGGUCUCAACGGCUGCUUAUAAAGCAAUAGCCACUCAUUAGUACUCAAUGCCACUACGCAAGAAUAGCUAUUGUGCCUGCGCAUGUGACUGAAUGAACCCGGAAGCUCCGAAAGCUGGGAAAGUCAAAGAAGGAUUUAGAAGACAGAAGAACCGACCAGAAGGAGUGCGGGCAGCCCAUGACACAGAGCCUCGUGCACGGUGCGUGACCGAGACUGUGAUUGGAUGCGGAGCCUCGUGCACAGUGCGUGAUCGAGGCUGUGAUUGGACAGAAGUUACGAAACCAGCGCAUGUCGCGGAUGCGGUCAGGUGUACGGGUAUAAUACCGGGAGCGUUCGGGGGAAUAGAGAUCUGCUUCCACCACAUCGGUGACUGAGAGACUCCAUCCGAGCAAGCACAGACAGCCUCGGGUCGGGAGGAUGGACAGCUGCGGGAGGCGAUAGCAACACUUCUCCAUUGUGCAAGUUCUCCUCCAUCUAUAACAGUAUUUAUUGAUGUCUCCCGUUGUCUCCUCCCACUCUCAGAAGAUAAUGCUUUCAACUUGAUGUGGUAUCUCUCCACAGUAUCAUAAACAUCUCUCCACUUGAUUUUUCUGAGUUCUGGAGACAAUCCUGCAAUUCUCUAUGGCUCUGCUCAGUAUCCUACCACUGAUCCCUCCUUUCCUGGUUUUAUUUCUGAUGAUCCUAUCAUGAUAGUCCUUGCUGGUGUUACUGAAGACUAGCAUGUAGCUAAAUCCAAACCUCUCACUUCUGUUUUCUUUUCCUUUCUUUUAAACUCUCUGUUUUUUGUCUCGAUUUGAAUGAUUAAUUCAAAUUGAACGUCACCAGGAGAGAAAAUUCACCAUCAGAUUUCUUAUCCAUUUAAAUGAUCUGCAAAUCUCAUGGAGCCAGAGAUUCACCUUCAGACCCUUCUACAUCUCUCUUCCUCACCUGCUUAUGGUACUCUCACUCUUCCAGUCAUGUCAGUAACUUUGAUACUAUUUUUAAGGAGAAAAUGUUGUUAAUUCUUCUGUUCUUUUAUAGGUUUUCCUGAGUCAUCUGUAAAGUUCUAAUGCAAUGACUCCCUGACCCAUCUUAUAUCUCCCACCUAGACUGUGUUGCUUUUUGGAAAUUCCCUUGAUGCAUUCUGAGAUUGCAGUAAUGCAGAACUUUGCUUCUCCCUAUCUAUCAUAUCCACAUUUUCUCUUUUCUUCAGAUAAUUAUGAUGAUCAUUGCACUGCAUUCAUAAAACACAGCAGUAGCCUGAGGGCCCUGUCAGGAUCAACAAUUUGCUGAGCUGGCAAUAUACAAUGACAAGUUCCUCUAGCCCCAGCAGCUCAUUGGGCUGGCAAUAUAAUAUUUAAUUAAGUUGUUUCUUCUGCUCAUUUUUCUCUCCUCAGGACCUCCUCUACUUUUCCUCUGCCAGUGUUUUUACCAAGAUGACAUCUUCCUAUGUAGUUUCUGACUACUGCAUACACCAGAUCUCUGCCCUGGUCUCUGGAUUUCUGCUGCUGCGCCAACAAGUAUUUCUAUCUUCUUCAGUCCCUAGAAGUGCUCUCUCCAAAGUGUUACACAGUAUUGCAUACAUCCAAUCCAAAGAGCAGAACCCAUGGAAAGGAAAGGUUAAGACUGAAGACUGUUUAAAAUGCUUGCUGUCAGAGGUUACAAACUUUCCUGAACUUCAGAAACCUGAUUGGGAGAGAAGAAAAAGAAUUCAACUCUUAAACUUGACCUCUUCAAAGCUUCUCAAAGCUGUUCCACUACAUCAAGUGACAGAAACUGGAAAGGGAGGGAAAUGGAGGACAAAGAACUAUUGAAGAUGCAAAGAGUAAUUCAAAAUGUACUGAGAGGUUUGGACAUCUUUUAUUCUUGAAAAAAAAGUUAAACAAAACCACCAGUCUGACACAAAAUUAAAAUCCAUCCUGUAAUCUCUUGCCAGAGAAAGAUCUUAAACAUUAAAAACAAAAAACAACAACAAACAACAAA